CAGUCGCCACGGUAAUACGAAGGGGGCUAGCGUUGUUCGGAUUUACUGGGCGUAAAGCGCACGUAGGCGGAUCGAUCAGUCAGGGGUGAAAUCCCAGAGCUCAACUCUGGAACUGCCUUUGAUACUGUCGAUCUGGAGUAUGGAAGAGGUGAGUGGAAUUCCGAGUGUAGAGGUGAAAUUCGUAGAUAUUCGGAGGAACACCAGUGGCGAAGGCGGCUCACUGGUCCAUUACUGACGCUGAGGUGCGAAAGCGUGGGGAGCAAACAGGAUUAGAUACCCGCGUAGUCCCUGUCUCUUAUAC
RNAcentral lists this ribosomal RNA (301 nucleotides) under uncultured bacterium. RNAcentral describes it as "partial 16S ribosomal RNA". It matches the Rfam family "Bacterial small subunit ribosomal RNA", at positions 509 to 807 of the family's 1533-position model. The record is from RNAcentral.